RNAcentral lists this ribosomal RNA (573 nucleotides) under uncultured bacterium. RNAcentral describes it as "bacterial SSU rRNA". It matches the Rfam family "Bacterial small subunit ribosomal RNA", at positions 888 to 1461 of the family's 1533-position model. The record is from RNAcentral.
GCAAGGUUGAAACUCAAAGGAAUUGACGGGGGCCCGCACAAGCGGUGGAGCAUGUGGUUUAAUUCGAUGCAACGCGAAGAACCUUACCUGGGCUUGAACUGUAGUGGACCGUCAUAGAGAUAUGAUUUUUCCUUCACGGGAACUGCUAUAGAGGUGCUGCAUGGCUGUCGUCAGCUCGUGUCGUGAGAUGUUGGGUUAAGUCCCGCAACGAGCGCAACCCUUAUCGCUAAUUACCAUCGAGUAAUGUCGGGGACUUUAGCGAGACUGCCCGGGUUAACCGGGAGGAAGGUGGGGAUGACGUCAAGUCCUCAUGGCCCUUAUGUCCAGAGCUACACACGUGCUACAAUGGUCGGUACAGAGUGUCGCUACAAUGUGAGUUGAUGCUAAUCACUAAACCCGAUCUCAGUUCGGAUUGCAGUCUGCAACUCGACUGCAUGAAGUUGGAAUCGCUAGUAAUCGUGGAUCAGCAUGCCACGGUGAAUACGUUCCCGGGCCUUGUACACACCGCCCGUCACACCAUGGAAGUCCAUAGUGCUAGAAAUGACUGAUCUAACCUUCGGGAGAAUCACUAGU